GCCCAAAUUCGCACGUGCCCGUGGUCGUCCACGUAGAAGUGCCAAACUUCUGACGGGGCCGCUGAUGAUCCAUCAAGGGAUGGCUCAGCAAACCGGACGGCUUAAAGCAACGACGUAAGAGGGCCUUU
This 128-nucleotide small RNA is filed under the name Roseibium suaedae. Its description in RNAcentral is "Labrenzia sp. YC6927 Alphaproteobacterial sRNA ar45". It matches the Rfam family "Alphaproteobacterial sRNA ar45". The record is from Rfam by way of RNAcentral. Lineage: Bacteria; Pseudomonadati; Pseudomonadota; Alphaproteobacteria; Hyphomicrobiales; Stappiaceae.